CGAAAAACGAAUCCUAAACGGUGGAUCACUCGA
Molecule: ribosomal RNA, 33 nt
Filed under: Nehalennia speciosa
Lineage: Eukaryota; Metazoa; Arthropoda; Insecta; Odonata; Coenagrionidae
Description: partial 5.8S ribosomal RNA
Source: RNAcentral